Molecule: non-coding RNA, 23 nt
Filed under: Arabidopsis thaliana (thale cress)
Lineage: Eukaryota; Viridiplantae; Streptophyta; Magnoliopsida; Brassicales; Brassicaceae
Source: RNAcentral
UAAAGGAUGUGCUUCAAUACCGU